This 812-nucleotide ribosomal RNA is filed under the name Citricoccus sp. PF2-10. RNAcentral's name for it is "bacterial SSU rRNA". It matches the Rfam family "Bacterial small subunit ribosomal RNA", at positions 114 to 933 of the family's 1533-position model. The record is from RNAcentral. Lineage: Bacteria; Bacillati; Actinomycetota; Actinomycetes; Micrococcales; Micrococcaceae.
CACGUGAGUAACCUUCCCUUGACUCUGGGAUAAGACGGGAAACUGGGUCUAAUACUGGAUAUGACCUUUCUCCGCAUGGUGGAAGGUGGAAAGAUUUAUCGGUCUUGGAUGGACUCGCGGCCUAUCASCUUGUUGGUGAGGUAAUGGCUCACCAAGGCGACGACGGGUAGCCGGCCUGAGAGGGUGACCGGCCACACUGGGACUGAGACACGGCCCAGACUCCUACGGGAGGCAGCAGUGGGGAAUAUUGCACAAUGGGCGCAAGCCUGAUGCAGCGACGCCSCGUGAGGGAUGACGGCCUUCGGGUUGUAAACCUCUUUCAGUAGGGAAGAAGCCUUUCGGGGUGACGGUACCUGCAGAAGAAGCGCCGGCUAACUACGUGCCARCAGCCGCGGUAAUACRUAGGGCGCGAGCGUUAUCCGGAAUUAUUGGGCGUAAAGAGCUCGUAGGCGGUUUGUCGCGUCUGCUGUGAAAGCCCGGGGCUUAACUCCGGGUCUGCAGUGGGUACGGGCAGACUAGAGUGCAGUAGGGGAGACUGGAAUUCCUGGUGUAGCGGUGAAAUGCGCAGAUAUCAGGAGGAACACCGAUGGCGAAGGCAGGUCUCUGGGCUGUUACUGACGCUGAGGAGCGAAAGCAUGGGGAGCGAACAGGAUUAGAUACCCUGGUAGUCCAUGCCGUAAACGUUGGGCACUAGGUGUGGGGGACAUUCCACGUUUUCCGCGCCGUAGCUAACGCAUUAAGUGCCCCCGCCUGGGGAGUACGGCCGCAAGGCUAAAACUCAAAGGAAUUGACGGGGGCCCCGCACAAGCGGC